This 40236-nucleotide long non-coding RNA is filed under the name Nicotiana tabacum (common tobacco). RNAcentral describes it as "long non-coding RNA (NTAB_LNC006478)". The record is from RNAcentral. Lineage: Eukaryota; Viridiplantae; Streptophyta; Magnoliopsida; Solanales; Solanaceae.
GUGUGACAUAUAUAUAUCAUGCACAUGUCCCAAAACUAUACAAAACCAAGGGGCAUAUGCAAAUGUGAUCUCCAUGAGUGCUCCCAAAAAUACUACUUCAUAAGGCCGUCUUCAAAUUUCAUCAUGUGCAUUACCUACGAUAGAAAAUAACUAUCGCUAAGCAUAAAGCUUAGUGGCAUAUAAACUUUGGUCUUGGAGCCAUUAAAUUCUCUAAUUUCCCUUUUCAGUCACAGGUAGCUCAAAUUUGACAUAAUUUAAAACAAGUGAACAAAUAUAUCAAAAGUAUUAAAUAUAUAACCUUGAAGUGUUUCCAAAUAUCAAUAACAAUAUUCUAGAGUCGAAAAAGUGUAUACUAUCAAUUCAAGAGAGUUUGCCAAAUAUCUAUUUUUUCGCCCAAUAUGUACGUCAUGCCAUCACACUAAGCAUAAUCAGAUAUCAAGAUGGAUCGAAGGCCCAAAUCAAGUGGGGUAAAAAUCCAAUAGUUAAGAGAAUCAAGAACCAUAUUAAAAAUGGCUUCCUAAUUCGUACUUAACACAGACAAGUUCCAUAAUUUAAGACGAACUACAAAUCCAAAGUCAAGAUGUCAAAAGAUCCAAAUCAAGAGGCAUGCCAAGAUGAGUGACAAAGUCACUGCCACAAGAAGGGCAAAGUCCCAACAAGAAUGUAAAAUGGUCAAGAAAAUUCGUACGAGUGGGCGAUUUAGCGAAUAUCUUACAAUACUUGAUAUAAUACAAAUACCACGAUAUAAAUUAAAGAAAAAAUAAAUAAAAUCUCAAGUUAUUUCAAACCAUUCCAGCACAUAAAAAUAGUACAAAGUUUAUACACAAACCUUGGUGUUUUACCACAAAACAGUUCAAUCACAACUUGAGGACAAUUGAAUCGUCUACGCCAUAGACAAACCAAAUCUGUCAACUUUCUUAAACAGUUCCCCUUAAAUUUUACAAGGGUAUAUAUACCUUAAAUACAUAAUCAAAUAUCUAUAUAAGUUCAGUGAUUUAACAUGUCAAACUAAACAUGAUAUUGCUGAAAAUUACCCAAAAUAUUUGAAACAGAAAUUCUGGACAGUAUCACUGUCUUGUGUUGUGACUCAGUUUUGAAGAUGAAAAAGGACAAACUAGACUGUAUGGUCUUAGCGUUUCAUAACAUCUUGAAUCACCCCAAUAUCAGUUUCGUACAAAGAGUUAUGCUAAAAUUACUAACAGUAGUACAGAGAGUAUUUUUAAAACUGAAAAUCUGGGCAGCACCUGCUCUGUCCUUUAUGAUCCCUUCUCAGGUAAAUGCAGGCAAAACUAAAUUUUGGUUACUGAAUAAGAGUUAUAGAUCUAUGUAAUAGCUUUCUAUAAAGUCUUAGAUCAAUUAAAACGAAGCUCUAUACAAAAUAUAUUAAGAAAACACUAAUAGUUGUCCAGUGUAAAAACGGGUUUAGUAACUUACCACAAAAGAGAGGAGCAACUUGAGUUUCACCAAGAACGAGUUUUGCUGGUUGGUUUACUGAAUAUUUAUGAUGGUUUUCAUGAAAUUUUUCAGGUGAUAAGAAGGAGAGAGGGUAUGGGUUUUCUUUGUCUUGAAAGAAUGAAAUAUGAGAGGAGGUUAUUGGAAAGCAAGUCAACCAAAGUAAUUGUCACGACCCAAAAUCCAACUAGUCGUGAUGGCACCUAACUCAACCCGCUAGGUAAGACAACUUUCAAUUAUCCAAUUUCAAUAAUAAUUUUAAAGCAAUUUAAGUAAAUAAAGAUCUUAAUCUUAUACAUUUCCCAAGAACUAGUAGCACAAAUCAUUAGCUUCUAAGAAUAGAAUUUACAAAGCUGGUAUGAAGUAAAUACAUCAUCUCUUUGAAAAGUACAAAAAUAGAGUUUUAUGAAUCUAAGGCUACCAUGAACAAGAGGAACUUACAACCAGAACGUAGGUACAUCUUCAAAUCCGGCAACCAUCGAGCAUAGCAACAACAUCAGUCAAUAUCUGCACGCAAUGUGCAUAAGUAUAGUAUCAGUAUAACCGACCUCAUGUACUGAGUAAGUAACAAACCUAGCCUUGGGUUGAAAGUAGUGACGAGCUUUUACUAAGGUUGGGUCCCAAACUAAUAGUCCACAACAAUCCAUAACAACGUAAAGCAAAUAAUACCAGAAGUAACUCAGAGAUAAAAUACUCAGCUAAAUCAUAAUUUAAAAAAUAAUAGUUCUUCCUUUCAAGUACAUCAGUGAAAACUCUAAUCGUUUACCGAAGUUGCCAAAAAUAUGAAUAAGUUUGAAAACAAUAACUUUUCCCAAAAUCUUUUCAAUAAUAACUUAGAUGUUUCAUUUUCUUUCUAGAUAACCCGUGUAAACAAGUGCAUCACUAUGCCCAUCUGUCAACAUGUAUGAGAAAUCAUGAAUGAUGUGAUACUGUACAGCACGAGAAAAGAUACAUCUCUAUGUCUGUAUGUCAUGUGUGCAUGUCAAUACGAUGCAACUCAGUGAUAAAAUCAUAUGCAUACUCUCAAAGUAUCAUUUCACUUAGUCCUCCCAGUCACUCAGUCCUCUCAGUCCUCACAGUCACUCAGUCCUCCCAAUCGCUUGGCACUCGCACUCAGUAGGUACCUGCGUUCACUGGGGGUGUGUACAGACUCCGGAGGGGCUCCUUCAGCUCAAGCGCUAUAAUAUACACAGACAACUCACGUGCUACACAGACAACUCACGUGCUAUAAUAAUAUAUGGAUCCGCACGGACAACUCACGUACUGCACGGACAACUCACGUGCUAUAAUAAUAUCCGGAUCCGCACAGACAACUCACGUGCUAUAAUAAAGCCUAUAAGGCCUGCUGCAGGAGGGNNNNNNNNNNNNNNNNNNNNNNNNNNNNNNNNNNNNNNNNNNNNNNNNNNNNNNNNNNNNNNNNNNNNNNNNNNNNNNNNNNNNNNNNNNNNNNNNNNNNNNNNNNNNNNNNNNNNNNNNNNNNNNNNNNNNNNNNNNNNNNNNNNNNNNNNNNNNNNNNNNNNNNNNNNNNNNNNNNNNNNNNNNNNNNNNNNNNNNNNNNNNNNNNNNNNNNNNAAGCCCCGAUCCACAUAAUAAUCCUCACAAUCAGGCCCUCGGCGUCACUCAGUCAUCAAUCUCUCCAGUCUUUCUCUCAUGGGCUCACAAUGUCAUGAAAAUAGCCCAAAAAUGAUAAUAUGAUGUAUCAAUAAAUAAUAACAGAGACUGAGAUAUGAUAUGUAAUGACAUGAAUAUGAUCGAGUAUGAAUUUUCAAUUUAAAAUAAAUAAUUCACAGCAAUAUGACCUAUGUGGGUCCCAAUAAUACUGGAACAUAGCCUCAACAUGAUUUUUAAUAUGCUUUCAGCUCAAUUUCUUUAACACAUAAAACUGCAUGGAAAAUGCCAAGAUUAUUUAACUACAAAAUUCCACAGAAAUAAUUAUGUCACAAUUUCUAUAGUGCACGCCCACACGCCCAUCACGUGGCAUAUGUGUCACCUCCCAACAAUUCACAAAAUACAUAUAUUCAGGGUUCAUACCCUCAGCUCCAAGAUUAGAAGAGUUACUUACGUCGAACAAGCCAAAUCCAAUGUCGAGCAAGCUAAGCAAUGCUCCAAAAAUUUCAUUAUGCGUGUAUCAACUUCCAAACUGCUCUAGUCACAAUUAAUUUGAUUCAACCCACAAAAAUUAUAGGAAUUAAUUUCAUAUCAAAAUACUAAUAAUUUCCAAAAAAUCCAAAAUUACGCCCCAAAAAUACCCGUGGGGCCCAUGUCUCGGAAUCUGACGAAACUCACAAAAUACGACAACCCAUCAAAUUACAAAUUCAACCAUACUAGUUUCACUCAAAUCCGACUUCGAAAAGGUAUUAAAAACUCGAAAAAUUCGUUUUGUGACAUUAUAAAAAUUUCCUUCGAUUUCUCUUCAUGAUUCGAUAAUCUUAUACCAAAAAUGAAGAGUAAUUCAUGAAAUAUAAACACAAGGGAGUCAAGAACACUUACCCCAAGAUGUGUGGAAACAUUCCUCUCCAAAAUUGCCCAAAUCGAGCUCCAAAAUUCGAAAAAUGGGUGAAAAAUCACGAACCCUCGAACUUAAGGGGUUCUGUCCAGUUAAUCCGCAUCUGCGGACAAUAUUUGUGCACCUGCGCCUCCGCUUGUGCGAGCAAAACGUCGCAUUUGCGGACUUCACUCGCCUUCCCAGUUUGUGCAUCUGCGAGGACACCAUCGCAUUUGCGAGGCCUCAUCUGCGGGAAAGACAUCGCAGAUGCGAAAAUCCUCAGCUUCCAGCCAUCUCGCUCCUACGCCUAAGUCGUCGCACCUGUGAGUCCAUUUCCGCAGGUGCGAAAACAUCAGAACCAGCAUACCUCCAGAAAUUCUUCAACUUCGAACCUUGGUCCGUUAACCACCUGAACUCAACCCGAGGUCCCCGAGACCUCAACCAAAAUACCAACAAGUGUUAUAUCCCAAUACAAACUUAGUUUACCUCUCAAAUCACCUCAAACAACUUCAAAAAUACGAACUACACACGGAUUCAAGCCUAAUGAAUUUUGAAAUUUCCAAAUUCUACAAACGCCGCCGAAACCGAUCAAAUCACGCCCGAUUGACCUCAAAUUUUGUACACAAGUCACAUUUCAUAUUACGGACCUAUUCCAAUUUCUAGAAUCGGAUUCCGACCCUGAUAUCAAAAAGUCAACCCCUCGGUCAAACUUCCCAAAAAUUCAACUUUCGCCAUUUCAAGCUUAAUUCCACUACGGACCUCCAAAUACUUUUUCGGACAUGCUCCUAAGUCCAAAAUCACUAUACAGAGAUAUUGGAAUCAUCAUAAUUGAAUUCCGAGGUCAUUUACACAUAAGUGAAUAUCCGGUGAACUUUUUCAACUUAAGUUUUCAAUAAUGAGACUAAGUGUCUCAUUGCACUCCGAAAUCCUUUCGGACCCGAACCAACUAACCUGAUAAGUCAUAAAUCAAUUGUAAAGCAUAAAUUGAGUAGUCAAUGGGGGAAGAAUUUGAGACAGCACUAUUGGUGGAGGCGGAUGAAGAAGGAUAUAGUUGGGUUUGUGGAUCGGUGUCUCAACUGUCAGCAGGUUAAGUAUGAACAUUAGAGAUCGGGUGGCUUGCUUCAGAGGUUAAAGAUCCGAGAGUGCAACUGGGAGCGGAUCACCAUGAUCUUCAUAGUUGGGCUCCCACGGACUUCGAGGAAGUUCGAUGCUAUUAGGGUUAUUGUGGAUUGACUGACCAAGCACGCGUACUUCAUUCCAGUUGGAACUACUUACACUUUAGAGCGGUUGGCUGAGAUUUAUAUCCGAGAGGUUUUUCGCCUGCAUGGUAUUCCAGUUUCUAUCAUUUUAGAUAGUGGCACUCAGUUUACAUCGCAGUUUUGGAGGGCCGUGCAGCGAGAGUUGGGUACUCAGGUUGAGUUGAGCACAUCUUUUCACCCUCAAACGGACGGGCAGUCCGAGCGCACUAUUUAGAUAUUGGAGGACAUGUUGUGCGCUUGUUUCAUUGACUUUGGGGGUUCAUGGGAUCAGUUCUUGCCGCUCGCGGAGUUUGCAUAUAACAACAGUUACCAGUCGACUAUUCAGAUGGCUCCGUACGAGGCUUUAUAUGGGAGAAGGUGUAGAUCUCCGAUAGGAUGGUUUGAGUCGGGUGAGGCUAGGCUCUUGGGUACAGACUUGGUCCAAGAUGCAUUAGAUAAGGCAAAAUAGAUUCAGGAGCGGCUUCGCAUGGCCCAGUCUAGGCAGAAGAGCUACGCGGACAGGAAGCUCUGUGAUGUGUCGUUUAUGGUUGGGGAGAAGGUUUUGCUGAAGGUAUCACCCAUGAAAGGUUUUAUGAGGUUUGGGAAGAGGGGCAAGUUGAGGCCCCGGUUCAUUGGGCCUUUUGAGGUGCUUCAGACUAUAGAGGAGAUGGCUUAUAAGCUUGCCUUACCACCCAGCUUGUCGAGCGUGCAUCCAGUGUUUCAUGUUUCCAUGCUCCAGAAUUAUGUUGGCGAUCCGUCCCAUGUUUUGGACUUCUGAACGGUUUAGUUGGAGUGUGAUAUGACUUAUGAUGUGGAGCCGGUGGCCAUUGUGGAUCGGCAGGUUCGGAAGUUGAGGUCAAAGGACAUAUCUUCGGUGAAGGUGCAGUGGAGAGGUCAGCCUGUAGAGGAGGCCAUCUGGGAAACCGAGUGGGAUAUACGGAGCAGAUAUCCACACCUAUUUGAGACUCCAGGUAUGUUUCUAGACCCAUUCGAGGACGAAAGUUAGUUUAAGAGGGGGAGGAUGUAACGACCCGGCCGGUCGUUUCGAGAGUUAUAGCCCCAUUUCCCCCAUUUCUACUUCCUUUUAUGCUUUUCAGCUAUAUUAUGAUAUACCAUAUUAGUCGGUUUGGUUCCGGAGAGGUUUCGGAGUUGAUUGAGACACUUAGUUUCAAAUGUAGAAGCUUAAGUUGGAAAAGUCAAAAGGACUGAGUAAGGCUGAAGGCCUGGUUGUGAGAUAUUAUUCUAUGGUACGUGAGUUGUCCGUGUGGAUCCUUAUAUUUAUACUAGGGCAUAUGAGUUAUCCGUACAGCACGUGAGUUGUCCGUGCGGAUCCAGAUAUUUAUACUAUGGCACAUGAGAUGUUCGUGUAACACGUGAGUUGUCCAUGCAGAUUAUAGCGGUUGGGCUGUUGGAGCCCCUCAUGUGGCUGAACACCCCCAGUGAGCGCAGGUACCUAUUGAGCGUGUGCAUUGAGGGCUGAGAGUUGAGUGUCGAGUUAUUUAGGGUUUGAGUGACAGUGUCUGUGAGGUUUCAUCUAUUUCACUUUGUUGCUGCAUUUAGCUUAAAAUUGUCUCGCUAGAAUUGCCAAUUAUGCAACUGAUCUUUUACUCAUAUUUACUCUUCACUUUAAAAAUUAUCAACUGAAUUGUUCUGUAUAGCUUGUCACUACUUCUCAGUUCCUUAUUUAUUUUUGUUACUUGUUGAGUUGAUUGUACUCAUGCUAUACCCUGCACUUCAUGUGCAUAUCCAUGUGUGUUUGAUAACGGAGGUCAUUGAGUUUGAGCGCGAUCGAGUUUCGAAGUCUACGAGGUAGUUGCCGGCGUCGCAGNNNNNNNNNNNNNNNNNNNNNNNNNGAUUCUAUAUUGAGUUCAACUUUGGUUUUUAUGAAAUAUUUCUGAUAUGAAAAAAUUUUAAACUACCUUUUCUAUUGAAUUAGUAGAGUAUUUUGGGAACGCCGGCUUGCCUAUUACUAUCGAUAGGUGCCAUCACGACAUGUUAGAUUUUGGGUUGUGACAAGUUGGUGUCAGAGCUUCUUAAGGACUAUGAUAUCACUAUUUUGUACCAUCUGGGGAAGGCCAAUGUGGUGGCUGAUGCUUUGAGUCGUCGGGCGGAGAGUUUGGGGAGUUUAGCUAUCUCCCAGAAGUAGAGAGACCCAUGGCAUUAGAUGUCCAGGCCUUAGCGGGCCAGCUUGUCAGAUUGAAUAUUUCGGAGCCGAGGCGGGUAUUGGCAUGUGUGGUCUCCAGGCCUUCUCUUUAUGACCGUGUCAGGGAGCAUAUGUAUGAUGACCCGCACUUGCUCGUUCUUCAGGACAGGGUUCAGUGAGGUGAUGCCAGAGAUGUGACUAUUGGUGAUGAUGGCGUGUUGAGGAUGCAAGACCGGAUAUAUGUGCCCAAUGUAGAUGGGCACCGUGAGUUGAUUCUUGAGGAGGCCCACAGCUCGCGGUAUUCCAUCCAUCCGGGUGCCGUGAAGAUGUACCAGGAAUUGAGAUAGCACUAUUGGUGGAGGCGGAUGAAGAAGGAUUUAGUUAGGUUUGUGGCUCGAUGUCUCAACUGUCAGCAGGUUAAGUAUGAACAUCAGAGACCGGGUGGCUUGCUUCAGAGGUUAAAGAUCCGAGAGUGGAACUGGGAGCGGAUCACCAUGAUCUUCGUAGUUGGGCUCCCACGGACUUCGAGGAAGUUCGAUGCUAUUAGGGUUAUUGUGGAUUGACUGACCAAGCCCGCGCACUUCAUUCCAGUUGGAACUACUUACACUUUAGAGCGGUUGGCUGAGAUUUAUAUCCGAGAGGUUUUUCGCCUGCAUGGUAUUCCAGUUUCCUCAUUUCAGAUAGAGGUACUCAGUUUUCAUCGUAGUUUUGGAGGGCCGUGCAGCGAGAGUUGGGUACUCAGGUUGAGUUGAGCAGAGCUUUUCACCCUCAGACAGAUGGGCAGUCCGAGUGCACUAUUCAGAUAUUGGAGGACAUGUUGUGCGCUUGUGUCAUUGACUUUGGGGGUUCAUGGGACCAGUUCUUGCUGCUUGCGGAGUUUGCAUAUAAAAACAGUUAUCAGUCGAGUAUUCAGAUAGCUCCGUACGAGACUUUGUAUGGGAGGAGUUGUAGAUCUCCGGUAGGAUGGUUUGAGCCGGGUGAGGAUAGGCUCUUGGGUACAGACUUGGUCUAGUAUGCAUUAGAUAAGGCGAAAUUGAUUCAGGAGCGGAUUCACACGGCACAGUCUAGGCAGAGGAGCUACGCGGACAGGAAGGUCUGUGAUGUGUCGUUUAUGGUUGGGGAGAAGGUUUUUCUAAAGGUAUCACCCAUUAAGGGUGUUAUGAGGUUUGGGAAGAGGGGCAAGUUGAUCCCCCGGUUUAUUGGGCCUUUUGAGGUGCUUCAGAGGAUAGGGGAGGUGGCUUAUAAGCUUGCCUUGCCACCCAGCUUGUCGAGCGUGCAUCCAGUGUUUCAUGUUUCUAUGCUCCGAAUUUAUGUUGGCGGUCCGUCCCAUGCUUAUGACUUUAGCACGGUUCAGUUGGAGGGUGAUAUGACUUAUGAUGUGGAGCGGGUGGCCAUUUUGGAUCGGCAGGUUCGGAUGUUGAGUUCAAAGGACAUAACUUCGGUGAAGGUGCAAUGGAGAUGUCAUCAUGUAGAGGAGGUCACCUGGGAGACCGAGCGGGAGAUGCGGAGUAGAUAUCCACACCUAUUUGAGUCUCCAGGUAUAUUUCUAGACCCAUUCGAGGAUGAACUUUUAUUUAAGAGGGGGAGGAUGUAACGACCCGGCCGGUCAUUUCGAGAGUUAUAGCCCCGUUUCUCCCAUUCCUGCUUCCUUUUGUGCUUUUCAGCUAUAUUAUGAUAUACCGGGUUAGUUGGUUCGGGUCCAGAGUGGUUUCGGAGUGGAUUGAGACACUUAGUCUCUAAAGUAGAAGCUUAAGUUGGAAAAGCCAACCGAAUGUUGAAUUAUAUGUAAACGAUCUCGGAUUUUAAUUUUUAUGGUUCUGUUAGCUCCGUUAUGUGAAUUUGAAAUUAGGAGUACGCCCGGAAUGUGAUUUGGAGGUCCGUAGUGGAAUUAGGCUUGAAUUAGCGAAAGUUGGAAAUUUGGUGCUUUCGGUCGGCAGUGAAAAAUUUGAUAUCGGGGUCAUAAUGGAUUUACGGAACUUGGAAUAGGUUUGUGGUGUCAUUUUUGAUGUGUGUGUAAUAUUUGAGGUCAUUCGGACGUGGUUUGGUAUCAUUUGCAGAAUUUGGGAAGUUAGAAGUUCUUAGGCUUGAAUCCGAGGGUAAUUUGUCGUUUUGAUGCUGUUUUAAGUGAUUUGAUGAUUUGUCUAAGUUUUUAUGUUGAUAUAUGACUUGUUGGUAUGUUUGGUUGAGGUCCCGAGGGGCUCGGGGUGAGUCCGGGUGGUUAACGGAUUGUUUAAAGUUGGAAAAAUGCAGCUGAAGCUGCUGCUACUGGUAUUUCCGCACAUGCGGAGGGGGGAGCGUAGGUGCGAGGUCGCUGGUGCACUUGGUGAACCACAGAUGCGGACAUGGAGGACCUGGUCUUGAAUCGCAGGUGCGAGGUCUUUUCCGCACCUGCGAGGUUGCAGAAGCGGAUAGGGAGCGCAGGUGCGGAGAUGCGCACUUAAGUGAUUGUCUGCAGAUGCGGAAAUUUAUGCGCAAAGGCGGCUCUGCAGGUGCGCAUUUUUGAGCCGCAGGUGCGAAAACCUGGGCAGAACCUAUAGAUAGGGAACUUUAGGAUUUUUUGUCAUUUCCAUCCUUUUCAAUUCAGACUUUGGAGCUUUUGGGGUGAGUUUUGAAGGUGAUUCAAGGAUAUUCACUGAGGCAAGUUGCUUAAGCUCUAUUAUCAUUAGAGAGUAAUUUGGGGAUUUGAGGAACCAAAUGAGGUCGAAUUUUGAUGAAUUUAGUAUGGGUAGACUCAUGAGUGAAUAGGCUUUCGGGCUUUGCGACUUUUGUCAGAUUUUGAGAUGUGGGACCGGGGGCCGGGUUUGAGUGAAUUUUGGGAUUUCGCCUAUAAGUUGGUAUUUUCCUUGUGGGAUUCAUUUCUUUAGCUCAUAUUGAUCGUAUUUUAUUGCUUGUGGCCAGAUUCGGGUCAUUUGGAGGCCAGUUUGAGAGGAAAGGGCAUUUCGGAGUAGGAGUUCUACGCUGUUGAGGUAAGUAACAGUUUUAAAUUUGGUCUUGAGGGUAUGAAACCCGGAGUUGGUAUAAUGUGACUGUUUGGAGGUGGCACCCAUGCUAGGUGAUGGGCGUGUGGAUGUACGCCGUGAGGGAUUGAGACUUGGUUCAUCCCGGGAGACUGUGAAGUCUAAUAGCCUUUAUUUGUGUUUAUAUGCAUUCCUAUCUACUAGAACUUGACUGUCUUUCAUGUUAGAGAUCAUGCUUAGGCUAUAUUCCUCCUCAUGGUAGUUAUAUUCAUUCAUAGUGAUUCUUGUACAUGUUUAUCUCAGUCUCUGUUAUUUUUCCCUGAUGAUAUACUGUAACACUUUGAUUUGGGUUAUUUUUCCUUUCUUUAUUGAGACCUAUGAGACUAGAGAGGUUCAUGACUGAGUAAGGCCGAAGGCCUGGUUGUGAGGUAUUAUUCUAUGGUACGUGAGUUGUCCGUGCGGAUCCUUAUAUUUAUACUAGGGCACAUGAGUUGUCCGUGCAGCACGUGGGUUGUCCAUGCGGAUCCAGAUAUUUAUACUAUGGCACGUGAGUUUUCCGUGCAGAUUAUAGCGCUUGGGCUGUAGGAGCCACUCGUGAGUCUGAACACCCCCAGUGAGCGCAGGUAUCUAUUGAGCGUGUGCAUUGCGGGCUAAGAGUUGAGUGUCGAGUUAUUGAGGGUUUGAGUGAGAGUGUUUGUGAGGUUUUAUCUAUUUCACUUUGUUGAUGUAUUUAGCUGAUAAUUGUCUGGCUGGAAUUGGUAAUUAUGCAACUGAUCUUUAAUUCAUGUUUACUUUUAACUGUGAAAAUUAUCAACUGAAUUGUUAUGUAUAGCUCGUCACUACUUCUCAAUUACUUAUUUAUUUUUGUUACUUACUGAGUUGGUUGUACUCAUGCUAUACCCUGCACUUCAUAUGCAGAUCCAGGUAUGUUUGAUCAUGUAGGUCGUUAAGUUCGGGAGCGAUCGAGUACCAGAGACUAUGAGGUAGCUGCCGGCGUACGCAGUACCUUGUCACUCCUUCUAUAUUUCUUUAUGUCUUGUAUUGAUACUUAGACACUAGUUGUAUUAGUUUGAUUAUCUAGAUUCUCAUGACUUAGUGACACCUCGAUGUUUAGGGCUAGUUUCCGCAUUUUGAUUCUAUAUUGAGUUCAACUUUGGUUUUUAUGAAAAAUUUCUGAUAUGAAAAAGUUCUAAACUACCUUUUCUAUUGAAACUGGAGUAUUUUGGGAACGUCGGCUUGCCUAGUAUCACCGAUAGGCACCCUCACGACAUGGUAAGUUUUGGGUCGUGACAUAUACCUUGCUUGAGCUUUCCUUAGAUUACUAAAAUAUUCCAGAUAUCCUAGAAACUUCAAUCUAUUUAGAAACAUAACAAAAUUGAACACAAAUUAGGAAAAUAUUCAUGGUUUCAGCUCAUUUGUGCAUUUUAUCAAACACUAUGUGUGCAAAUAUGACUACAAGGCUCUUCUACAAGAUUUCCUUCAUUCCACAAGAUUUAUUUCACUUCGCAUCCCAAUCUUUACCCUUUUGGGCUCAACAAUCAUCCCACAAACCUUAUUGGUACCUACAUGUAUACAUAAUACUCUAACACCCAAGAAUCAUACUCCCAAUCACCCAUCUUUUACCCCAAACUCGAAAUUGAAGACUAGGGUUAGAUCCUUAUCUCUUGAGUGUAGAUCUUGUGAGAUUUUCUUGUUGGAUUUCAAAGCUUGGACAAGAUCUUGAUGAGCCAAGCACUUGAUCUUCUUCCUUUCUCUAGAACACCCUCACUUCUCUCUAAAAAUGUCAGAUUUUUUCCUUCAAAAUGAGCCCAAAAGGCUACUUAUCAAAAUGGGGUCGGGUUAUAAAAAUAGGAAAAUGGACCCUCCGAACUCAGGUCUGCAGUCGCAGAAUAGACCGCAUAAUGGGUAUGCGGUCCGCAUAGUGGACCGCAAAACUGAUGCGUAGAACUGGGCUACACUGGUCAGGUCUUCGACCAUUCUGUGGUCUGCAGACAACUUGUACGGUUGCAGAAUGAUUCUGCGGUCGCAGAAUUGGCCGCAGAAUCACAUUUUGCCAGCCUUUGAUAAUUUGGUCAUAACAUCUUGUAGGAGUGUCCAAAUGACGAACGGUUUGAUGAGUUGGAAACUACACUCAAAGGGCUUUAAUUGUCUAGGUAUAUCACAACAUAGGUAGUUAUAUUUUGGUAUCAGCAUUCGUUUUAAAUAGGAUCUUGUGCGAAUUGAGACAUCAUUUCCACUUAAUGUAUCCAAUCUAUUCCACUCAAAUUCUUGCCAUUCACAAAACUUCUUAGUAUGUUCCAACACACCUUAAACAUAUAUUUUCAUUUCAAAAUAAUGUGGUUCUAUCCCAUGGGUCUCCUUAAAUACUCUAACACAUUAUUCCCAAAUACCGUUGGCACACAUUAAAAUCUUAAAUUAUUAGAAAAUUUUAACGGGGGCUUACAUUUUCCCCCGCUUAGGGUUAUUCAUCCUCGAAUGAGGGUUAAAGUCUGCCAUAGACAUCUAAUGUGACUUAAAUCUUUAUAUUCACACCAAAAGCUCCAAAAUUUGGCUAACUCCCCAAAUUUACAGAAAUUUCGCCAGAGUCUCCCAUGUAAUUGGGGCAUAUCCACCUGCCAGAGAAUCUUAGAAAUCAAUCCUAAACAACAUAUAGAUAACACCAUAUUGCACCAUAUACAUGAAAUCAACAACCAUGACUCUCGAAGCCAACUGUAUGACCUUGCUUACCUUGGUCGUAUCCUUGACUUUUCCUUCCUCCAUGAUGAGGACAAUUGGGAACCUCACGGAUUAAGCCUAUUAUGUGCAUCAUUCCUUAAAUCCUUAGGCCUUUCUCAUUUCGUAGCACGGUGUGCAAACAAUCCUUGAUAUUAACAAGGGAACUCCGAGACUAACUCAGAACCUUAACGCACGAUCGAGGAUAGAAAAAGAGAAACAUUUCCUAAAUGUCGUUGUAGCCUCUCUAUUAUAAGUGUGGCUGGAAACACAGCAAUAAGAAGGACUCUACUGACACAGAUCCAUGACACCUUAGGGCUCUUAAACCGUGCUCUGAUACAAAGUUUGUCACGCCCCGAACUCGGGGAGCGCGACCGGCACUCAACCGAGUGGAACCAGUCGAGCAAGCCUACGUUACAUCAACCUCUCAUCAUAACUCAUGCAUGAUUUAUCAAAACAUAAUUAGAUAUUGACUUUAAUAUUGAAUAUAUUUGGCUCAAUGGCCCAUAAUUGUUUUGUUUCUAUCAUGAUGGGUACCACAAAACCCAUAUGCUACUCUGUCACUCUCCCACUUUGGUCAAACCCUCUCUUUAAGCAACUACUCGACAUCUGUUUCUCACACUUGGCCUUCUAGAAUUUUAACCACCACAAGACACCUUCCACAUGUCCUUCCUCAUCCUCCGCUUCCCAGUUGUUGCCUUAACUCAAAAUUCAUUUCUGUAGCACCCGAACCAACAGAUCAUCGCUAACUCUAGACCUCCACGAAGAUCAUCUUCCUUGAGCCAUCAACAUUAGGAUUACCUAUUCGAUUCUGAACCACAGCAUACUGCGAUAUCUGGCAAUCGCUUCCCCCGACAUCAUUUCACAAUACCCUGCCCCAAAGGCAAUUUGAAGAAGGCCAUAACACCGGCAAACUUAACACAUUCAAUCAAGGACGACACCACAUCUCGGAUGAAAAUUUCCAACACACAUGAAAAUACCAAGUCUCGUUACUCCAUCAAUCCAACCUGAACAUUCUUAGUCUGGUUGCCUUUCCCUCCGGUGGAAAUAAAACAUUGAACCUUUGAAUCACGCAUUGAGAAGAACCUCAUUUCAAUUCAUUCACCGCCCCUACACGUAGACAAAUAUCCUACUAUUACCUGAAUAAUGUGCGAUAACAACUCAUGAACAUUAUAGAAAUUGGUGCAUAGCCCCAAAACCAUCAGAAAUACAGCUGCUGAGCUGAGAUGACAGAACAUCCUUUCAUAAAGCGACGACAUUAGCCCAAUCGAAUAUGCAGGGAGAAACAUCAUGCUCUACAUCAGUAGUGCCAUUACAAUUCCUCGAUUCCAAAUUUAUAACAAGCGCUUCGCGUCGCAUAAGAUUGAAUAGGAAGGAAAUGAAGGUGUAAUCCUCAAAGGAAUCAAAUCGCACGACCAGGAAUCAAGAAGGGAAGUGCUCCUAUCAGCCCGGUAGCCUCUCGAAGAUACGUGCAGACGUCUUUGUACCGAUUCGCAAGACUCUACUAGACUCGCUCAUGAAUCGUGAGACCUAAGUGAACCUAGUGCUCUGAUACCAUGUUGUCACAACCCAAAAUCUAUUAAAGGUCGUAAUGGCGCCGGACACCGCUGUCAGGCAAGCCAACAAUAAAUACUCAAUUUGGUUCUCUUUUUUAAUAUUUUGAAAUCACAUUUUUCCUUCAAUAAAAAAGCAAAAGAUGGAAUUUACAAAGUAAAUAAUACUACCUCUGUUCCAGUUUAUGUGAACCUAUUUUCUUUUUGGUCUGUGCCAAAAAGAAUGACCCCUUUCUAAAUUUGGAAAUAAUUUUGCUUAAACAUAUAAUUUUACCCUUAAUGAGAAGCUUUUAUAACCACACAAAUACUCUGGGCCCAUUUUUGAAUUGUUUAGGACCACAAAUUCCAAAAGUUUUCAUUUUUUCUUAAACUCCGUGCCAGUCAAAUAGGUUCACAUAAAUUGGAACGCAGUGAGUAAUAUUUGUAACAAUUUCAAUACAAGACAACCCAUAAUCACCCCAAAACCUGGUGUCACAAGUGCAUCAGUAUCAGCUAGGAAGUAAAAAUAAAAUACACCAUCUGUCCGAUAUACAAAUUUAGACAGGAGAAAUAUAAAUACUCUGAAGGAGACUCUGCUGUAAGCUCAAUAUCGUGAAAUAAGUAAACAAUUCUUUUGUUAAUAAGGCAUUUUCCAAAUUUAUUUUCAUCGUUUAACAAUUUAUUAUCUCAGGCCAAUGAGGCAGUAUCAAUUAUUAUAAUUUCCAAAGCAAUUAAUACAAUCAUGCGCAAGUCAUGCCGAAGUCAUACGGCCCGAUCCAACAUAUAAAUAUAAAUUGUGCACUGCCGAGGGUCGAACGGCACGAACCAUAGAUGCAUCUAUUUAACCUUCCGAGGCGAACGACCCGCUCCCAUGAGAGUAGUGAAAAUUUACCCCGCUCGCGGAAUAUAAUAGCGACACAGUUACACAUAGAUUUCUUAAGUUACUAUAAUAUUCCUCAAUUUCUUUUCGAAAACACGAAGUCCAAAUGAAAACUUCUUUUAAAAAACUUAAUUUCCUCAAUUUCAAUUCUUCUUAAGGCAAACAAUAACCACAAAUCAAAUAACAAUAUCAGCAAGGCAUGAAGUAAACCUAAAACUAUCCGGACAUAGGCAUAGCUAGUAGCUACGUAUGGACUCUCAUCAACUCGUGCGUACGUAGCCCCCGCAAGUAGAAGCACAUAUUUAAUCAAUUCACCUAUGGGGUUAAUUCCCUCUUACAAGGUUAGAAAGGAGACUUACCUCACUCCGCAAUUCUAUAAUCGGCUCCAAUGCCUCUCCAACUACUCAAACUGGUACCCGUCGCUCCAAAACUAGUCAAUAAAUGUGCAAAUUCAUAAAUAUAUACUCUAACACUCAUUAUAAUUCAAUUUACAACAAUUCCGAACUCCUCUAGAUUUUUCUUUAAAAUCUCAAAUCUCAACAAAUUUUUAAGUCUAAAUGCUUAUACAAUCCAGGUAUUUAACUUGCAAUAGGUGGGAAUCACUUACCUUGAUAUAGAUGACGAAAAUCUCCCAUCCAAGAGCUCCAAAAAUCGUCCAACCAAAUGAAAUAUGGGUGAAAUGAACCCAAACCCCGCUUUAAAAGCAUUCUGCCUAGCCAGACUUUCGCACAUGCGGCCUCUUCGUCGCAUUUGCCGUCUCGCAAGUGCGGCCCUUUUCCCAGCACAGCUCCGUAUCUGCGCCCCAUGCAACGCACCUGCGCUUCCGCUUCUGUGAUCCUCAUGUGCAUAUGCGCCUUCGCAGGUGCGGACAUUCCCUCGCACCUGCGCUCCUAGCCUUUUCUCUCAAUCUCGCACCUGCGACGCACCUCUGCAUCUGCGACCUAGCAGGUGUGGACAACCCUGCACACCUGCGGUCACUGCCAAUCUUCGACCAAACCGCACCUGCGAGCUCGCACCUACGGCCCUUUUCACGUAGGUGCGAUCACGCCACAUAUCAGCUGCCUAAUCUUUUUGUUCCAAGUCCAAACUCGAUCUGUUAACCAACCGGAAUCCACCUGUGGCCCUCAGGACCUCAACCAAUUAUACCAACACGUCCCAAAACACAUUACGAACUUAGUCGAGCCUUUAAAUCACAUCCAACAACAUCAAAACUAUAAAUCACCCUCCAAUUCAAACUCAAUGAACUUUAGAACUUCAAACUCCUACAAUCAAUGCCGAAACCUAUCAAAUCACGUCCGAUUAACCUCAAAUUUUACACACAAUUCAUAAUUAGCAUUACGGACCUAUUCCAACUUCCGGAAUCAGAAUCAGACCCCGAUAUCAAAAGUCCACUCCCGGUCAAACUUCUCAAAAAUCAUCAAAAUUCCAACUUUCGCUAAAUGGCCUCAAAAUGACCUACGGACCUCCAAAUCCACAUCCAGACGCGCUCCCAAUACUAGAAUUACCAUACGAAGCUAUUCCCAGGCUCAGAAUCCCAAACGGACAUUGCUAACAUUGAAAUGCACUUCAACUCAAAUUUAUGAAAAAAUUUCAAAAGGCCAACUUCCAUAACAGGCGCUGAAACGAUACUGAGUUAUCCAAAACACGAUCCCGACAUACGCCUAAGUCCAAAAUCAUCAUACGCACAUGUUGGAACCUUCAAAUCCCGAUUCCGAGGUCGUUUACUCAAAAUUCACACUUUAGUCAAUUCCUUCAACUUAAGACUUUCGAUAUUAGAAUUUUCUUUCCAAAUCAACUCUGAACUUCCCGAAAUUAAAUUCCGACCACGCAUACAAGUCAUAAUACCUGAAGUGAAGCUGCUCAGGGCCUCAAACCGCUGAACGAUGCGCUAGAGCUCAAAACGACCGGUCGAGUCGUUACAUUCUCUCCCACUUAAACAUACGUUCGUCCUCGAACGUGCCAAGAACUGCUCUGGAGUUGUCUGAAAUCAUUGUUUAACACCUCGUGCACCUACCCGUGCUACCACAACCCAGCUGAGCACAUUAGAUCGAGCAAUUCUGAAGAUCUUCCCCUUUAUUCAGGCAAAUAAGCCUUAGAGACAAAUUCCAAUAUCUGAAAUUCUCUACCAGGUCUGUUUCCAACACACGAACACCGUAUCCAUCACCACAUGAUGUACCAACACAUAAUUGUAUUCCCUUACUGAAUUCUUACCAUGCACCACGUAAAUCCUUUGCCCAAGUCAAUCUACCCAAAGCACAACAGCUAAAAUUUCCACUAACUCGUAGCCCGUAGUGUACUUUAUGACCGAUUAAGUCUUGCUCUAACUCUCGCAAUACUGCCACGAUAGAGAAGAUAUGUAUAAAUUCAUACCAACUACCGAGUCACAAUUUAUGGAGUCUCUCCUCCCGACAAGAACCAUUACCUAAUUCUGGACUGAUUAACAAUAUUUACUCUUUAAUAUGCUUCAUAUAAAUCUGAUCGCACUGAUCCCAGGUCCAAUAAUCUUGUCUCACCCAGUACAAGUUGCUCCGGCAAUAAAUCACCCUAGAAGCUGCCAAAAGUUUCAUACGCUGCUACAAUGUGCCAACGAGCUACCAACUCGAAUGCGAUACAUAAGGAAAACGAACUCUGAAAAAGAACUACUCAACCCACGUAGCUAAUUUAAACAACCGAAAAGAAGUUAUGAACCCUCCUUACAAAAUGAGAAACAAAACACAUACGGAUAGAUAUGGGGAACUAUACUCAACAUCACAUUGUUGCGGCGUGCAACCCGAUACACACAUGAUACCGUUACGGCAUGCAACUCGAUCCAACCAUGAUACCCGUGGCGGCAUACCACCCGAUCCAACUAUAUACCCGUGGUGGCGUGCACCCGAUCCACACAUAAUAAUCUAAAGAAAACACACAUCGAUCAAUAACGCUUAUACUCACGAAAUGCCCGAAUAUCUACCAUAAGCACGCCAAGUGCAUAAUACAAAUCUUGGGGAGACGGGUAGCAUCAUACGCUAUAAAACCCAAGCACAACUAAGGUGCGAUAUUUGAUCAGCAUCACGGGAGCCAUCCUACUCACAUAAUACCACAAACUAUAUGGGAUCUCAAUACGAGUGCGAAUAAUCAAACCGCCUCAUAACCCACAUUGCACAAUAGAGACUGCACGGAAGGGCCGACAACAAAAAUAACAUCUAAGGCCCGCAGACCCCUCCAAAAACAAUGCUAUGCUGAAAUGAACACAUUCGGACUGAUAUAGAGCCCACAUUCACAUUUAGAUCCAUCCAAGGACCUCCAACCAAUUUUGAUCAUACCAUGCUUGUAUAAAUAGCCUCUCAAGGACCCACAAUGGCCUAUUCACGACACAUAAGAACAGUCGCCAAUUUGGAACAAACUCACAUUAUCCAUAGCCCAAGGAAAUAGAAAACCUCUGAGGCAUAAACUCUCUCAUACCAUGACCUCCAUAUCCGGUCUCAAUCUUUAACAAUCAAGUGACUGACAUGUCACUCUUAUACAAAUAUCCUCGUGGGGCAUGCUCAUGCGACCAUUCCGCUCCGGUAGCAAGGUCCGCAUAUCCAUACCACCAACCAUUUUAGUUCUGUAGAGUGAGUCAAAAAAAUCUGCAAGUCAAUACAUAAAGCCUCUUCCACAUGACACCGAUCUCAGGUGACGCUAAAGACAAUACCAGCUUACUCUAAACAUCUGAAUUCUUCCCUGCUCAUCCGAGCUCUUGACAUUCCUGUCAACACUGAACCGUAACCUUGAUCCUCAUCCUCAUAUUUCCCAUACUGCUCGCUGCACCUAAUAUGCCAAUACGUGAGAGUACCAGAACUCUACAAUAACCCCUGAUCCACUAAUAGAAUAAGCACUUCAUCGUAUAGAAACCUUCUACUUAGCUCAUUCCAUAAGAACCAAUGCAACACGCAACUAAAUUCUCAAACCGCAGAAAAAUACAAACCUCGAGUAGUGGCCUAACCACCAUAAUCAUUUUGGGAUCCAUCCACACAUAACAGGCCAUAAUACUCGAAUGCCUCCAAAUAAAAUCAACUUCGGCGGCCGCCAAGCCCUGCACGUGCAUCCACAAAUCACGUGUAUAACUUACCACACUGAAGGGACUGAUCAUUGCCACCAUCAUGCCAGUCCAACCACUGCUAACCGAAUCAACUUCUUCUAAUUUCACCUGGACUUACCUUAGGAAUAAUAAUGGUUCCAUUCAAAACAUAACAAAUCCAAAUCCGCACUCAUCCCGAGUAACCUUAUUUCACGAGACCACGUUGUCUCAAAACUCAUGAACGAUCUCAUACCCUCCUUGUGCGCAUGUUCCUCAGUAGCUCAGUGGUAGAGCGGAUAUUCGCACCUUCAACUAGUACACACAUUCUGAUAAUUCCUCUAUGAAUCCGAAGUUACUUUCCCCCAUUCCUCCAAUACUACACUGCAAAGCGAAGAUAACGUAUCACACUCAUGGCCCCUUUCAUAAUCCAUUGCAAAGGCUCGAUACUUAGCCCUACUACGAACUCAAAAUUCUGAGGCACCGCACUUUACUUUUGAAUCCACUAGGACCAUCGUUGAGGGUCACCCACCCUGGCUUGAUCCCCAAUAUAACCAACUCUAAGGCUCUGCUAGCACGUGUAUACCCUAUCAAGAAGCAGUCAACUAAAUUCAUUUCCUUGUACAUCACAUCCCCACGAAGCAUAAUUAUUAUUUUUUUACCCGAACACGAAUCGACAUGGCCAAACAUAGCACACAUUCCCCAAAUACCUUGCUCGAAUUACCACUGAUGUUUUUCUUCCUAAGUCAGAAUAACCCACCAAUACACCGAUAACUAGAAACCGCACUAGUUGACAACUACGCAAUCCAAUCAUAGACGAUGGGGCUCUCCCACUUAGCUUAAAGCUACCAUUGCAUAACUCUGGAACCCACCAAGAUUCCUUAUCCCCUAUUGACAUGAUCUUGCACAAUCAACCCGCCAAAUUCACUCGGAAUCCUUAUGUUACACAUUUCAUGAACAUUCCGAAUCACUAGCCGCAUUCACAUAUUCGACCUCUUACUGGAUAGUCAGUAAAAUUCUUCAUAGGAGUUUCAUCAACACCACGCAACCGCUAACCUGUUCACAGGAGAUAUCCCACCUCUGGAAAUUCCAUGCCGACAUCCUCCAACAAUGUUGCACUGAGUAUAAUUACCACGAAGCCAAUAAACCAUACUGAGUCCAUGAUCAUUCACCAGUUGUACAAGUUCGUUCACUCCUCAUGGACAUCAACUAAAGGUGCGACAAUAUAUUUCAAUCCAAAGUCAUGUUGAAUCUUCCUCAAAAUAGCAGCCAAUAUUCAAAUUUAAGCCUGUAGACCUAGUCAUUGUCCACCAUGAAUCCCAAUUCACUCUAACUUUCCCCAAGGCGUGUAGCUAUCGUACCACAGAACCCAUAUGCUACUCUCCCACUUUGGUCAAACCCUCUCUUUAAGCAACUACUCGACUUCUGUUUCUCACACUUGGUCUUCUAGAAUUUUAACCACCACAAGACACCUUCCACAUGUCCUUCCCCAUCCUCCGUUUCCCAGUUGUUGCCUUAACUCAAAAUUCAUUUCUGUAGCACCCGAACCAACAGAUCAUCGCUAACUCUAGACCUCUACGAAGAUCAUCUUCCUUGAGCCAUCAACAUUAGGAUUACCUAUUCGAUUCUGAACCACAGCACACUGCGACAUCUGGCAGUCGCUUCCCCUGACAUCAUUUCACAAUACCCUGCCCCAAAGGCAAUUUGAAGAAGGCCAUAACACCGGCAAACUUAACACAUUCAAUCAAGGACGACGACACCACAUCUCGGAUGAAGAUUUCCAGCACACAUGAAAAUACCAAGUCUCGUUACUCCAUCAAUCCAACCUGAACAUUCUUAGUCUGGUUGUCUUUCCCUCCGUUGGAAAUAAAACGCUGAACCUCUGAAUCACGCAUUGAGAAGAACAUCCUUUCAAUUCAUUCACCGCCCCUACACGUAGACAAGUAUCCUACCAUUACCUUAAUACUGUGCGAUAACAACUCAUGAACAUCAUAGCAAUUGGUGCAUAGCCCUAAAACCAUCAGAAAUACAGCUACAGAGCUGAGAUGACAAAACAGCCUUCCACAAGACGACGGCAUUAGCACAAUUGAACACGCAGCGAGAAACAUCCUACUCUACAUCAGUAGUGCCAUUACAAUUCCUCGAAUCCAAAUUUAUAACAAACGCUUUGCAUCGCAUAAGAUUUAAUAGGAAGGAAAUGAAGGCGUAAGCCUUAAAGGAAUCAAAUCGCACGAUGAGGAAUCAAGAAGGGAAGUGCUCCUAUCAACCCGGUAGCCUCUCGAAGAGAAGUACAUACGUCUCUGUACCGAUCCGCAAGACUCUACUAGACUCGCUCAUGACUCGUGAGACUUAAGUAAACCUAGUGUUCUGAUACCAUGUUGUCACGACCAAAAAUCCAUUAAAGGUCAAGAUGGCGUCGAACACCGUUGUCAGGCAAGCCAACAAUAAAUACUCAAUUUGGUUCUCGUUUUUAAUAUUUUGAAAUCAUAUUUUUCCUUUAAUUAAAUAGCAAAAGAUGAAAUUUACAAAUUAAAUAAUAAUAUUUGUAUCAAUUUCAAUAAAAGACAAUCCAUAAUCAUCCCAAAACUCGGUAUCACAAGUGCAUGAGCAUCACCUAGGAAGUAAAAAUAAAAUACAGGAUUUGUCCGGAAUACAAAUUUGGACAGGAGAAAUAUAAAUACUCUGAAGGAGACUCUACUGGCUGCGGAUCGUAGUAGAAAGUGCAGCUCACCUAAGUCCCUGCAAUAACUGCGCCUCUGCGCCCACAAGGCCCUCUAGACAUAUAUAUAUAUAUANNNNNNNNNNNNNNNNNNNNNNNNNNNNNNNNNNNNNNNNNNNNNNNNNNNNNNNNNNNNNNNNNNNNNNNNNNNNNNNNNNNNNNNNNNNNNNNNNNNNNNNNNNNNNNNNNNNNNNNNNNNNNNNNNNNNNNNNNNNNNNNNNNNNNNNNNNNNNNNNNNNNNNNNNNNNNNNNNNNNNNNNNNNNNNNNNNNNNNNNNNNNNNNNNNNNNNNNNNNNNNNNNNNNNNNNNNNNNNNNNNNNNNNNNNNNNNNNNNNNNNNNNNNNNNNNNNNNNNNNNNNNNNNNNNNNNNNNNNNNNNNNNNNNNNNNNNNNNNNNNNNNNNNNNNNNNNNNNNNNNNNNNNNNNNNNNNNNNNNNNNNNNNNNNNNNNNNNNNNNNNNNNNNNNNNNNNNNNNNNNNNNNNNNNNNNNNNNNNNNNNNNNNNNNNNNNNNNNNNNNNNNNNNNNNNNNNNNNNNNNNNNNNNNNNNNNNNNNNNNNNNNNNNNNNNNNNNNNNNNNNNNNNNNNNNNNNNNNNNNNNNNNNNNNNNNNNNNNNNNNNNNNNNNNNNNNNNNNNNNNNNNNNNNNNNNNNNNNNNNNNNNNNNNNNNNNNNNNNNNNNNNNNNNNNNNNNNNNNNNNNNNNNNNNNNNNNNNNNNNNNNNNNNNNNNNNNNNNNNNNNNNNNNNNNNNNNNNNNNNNNNNNNNNNNNNNNNNNNNNNNNNNNNNNNNNNNNNNNNNNNNNNNNNNNNNNNNNNNNNNNNNNNNNNNNNNNNNNNNNNNNNNNNNNNNNNNNNNNNNNNNNNNNNNNNNNNNNNNNNNNNNNNNNNNNNNNNNNNNNNNNNNNNNNNNUAAGCAUGAAUCAUGUGGAACGGUUGUAAGCUCAAUAUCGUAAAAUAAGUAAACAAUUGUUUUGUUAAUAAGGCAUUUUCCAAAUUCAUUUUCAUUAUUUAACAAUUUAUUAUCUCAGACCAAUGAGGUAGUAUCAAUUAUUAUAAUUUUCAAAGCAAUUAAUACAAUCAUGCGCAAGUCAUGUCGAGGUCGUACGGCCCAAUCCAACAUAUAAAUAUAAAUUGUGUAUUGCCUAGGGUCGAACGGCACGAACCAUAGAUGCAUCUAUUUAACCUUCUGAGGCAAACGGCCCGCUCCCAUUAGAGUAGUGGAAAUUUAUCCCGCUCGUGAAAUAUAAUUGCGACGUGGUUACACAUAGAUUUCUUAAGUUAUUAUAAUAUUCCUCAAUUUCUUUACGAAAACACGAAGUCUAAAUGAAAACUUUUUAAAAAAAACUUAAUUUCCUCAAUUUCAAUUCUUCUCAAGGCAAACAAUAACCACAAAUCAAAUAACAAUAUCAGCAAGGCAUGAUGUAAACCUAAAACUACCCGGACAUAGGCAUAGCUAGUAGCUACAUACGGACUCUCGUCACCUCGUGUGUACGUAGCCCCCGCAAGUAGAAGCACAUAUUUAAUCAAUUCACCUAUGGGGUUAAUUCCCUCUUACAAGGUUAGAAAGGAGACUUACCUCGCUCCGCAAUUCCAUAACCGGCUCCAAAGCCUCUCCAACUACUCAAACUGGUGCCCGUCGCUCCAAAACUAGUCAAUAAAUGUGCAAAUCCAUAAAUAUAUACUCUAACACUCAUUAUAAUUCAAUUUACAAUGAUUCCCAACUCCGCUCGAAAAGUCGAUAAAAUCACCCUCCGGCUCACAUGCCCAGAUUCCGAAAAUUCUCGAAGACAAAUACUACCCAUAGCACUACGAACUCAAAUAUAUAAUUAAUUUCCAAUUUCAUGCCCAACUUCGUGGUCAAAAUCCAAAAAUACCAAUUUCGAGGUUUUUCUUCAAAAUCCAAAAUCUCUACAAAUUUUCAAGUCUAAAUCCUUAUAUAAUCCAAGUAUUUAACUUGCAAUAGGUGGGAAUCACUUACCUUGAUAUAGAUAACGAAAGUACCCCAUCCAAGAGCUCCAAAUAUCGCCCAACCAAAUGAAAAAUGGGUGAAAUGAACCCAAACCCCGCUUUAAAAGCAUUAUGCCAGCCCGACUUUCGCACUUGCGGCCUCUUCGUCGCAGGUGCGGCCAAAAACCUCGCACCUGCGCAUUCCCUUUUCCCAGCACAGCUCCACAUCUGCGCCCCAUGCGGCGCACCUGUGCUUCCGCUUCUGCGAUCCUCAUGCACAUCUGCGCCUUCGUAGGUGCGGACAUUCCCGCGCACAUGCGCUCCCAGACUUUUCUCUCAAUCUCACACAUGCGACGCACCUCCGCAUCUGCGAUCUCGAGGUGCGGACAACCCUUCACACUUGCGGUCACUGCCCAGCUUUGCCCAAACCGCACUUACAACCAUUGGCUCGCACCUGCGGCCCUUUUCACGCAGGUGCGAUCACACCAUAUAUGAGAUGCCUCAUCAAAUUCGAUCUGUUAACCAUCCGGAAUCCACUCGAGGCCCUCGGGACCUCAACCAAUUAUACCAACACGUCCCAAAACACAUUACGAACUUAAUUGAGCCGUUAAAUCACAUCCAACAACAUCGAAACUACGAAUCACCCUCCAAUUCAAACUCGGUGAACUUUAGAACUUCAAACUCCUACAAUCGAUGUCGAAACCUAUGAAAUCACGUCCGAUUGACCUCAAAAUUCGUACACAAGUCAUAAUUGAUAUUACGGACCUAUUCCAACUUUCGAAAUCGGAAUCUGACCCUGAUAUCAAAAGUCCACUCUCGGUCAAACUUCUCAAAAAUCAUCCAAAUUCCAACUUUCGCUAAAUAACCUAUGGACCUCCAAAUCCACAUCCGGACGCGCUCCCAAUACCAGAAUCAUCAUACGGAGCUAUUCCCGGGCUCGAAAUCCCAAACGGGCAUUGAUAACAUUGAAAUUCACUUCAACUCAAAUUUAUGAAAUUUUUCCAAAAGGCCAACUUCCAUAACAUACGUUGAAACGCUCCCGGGUCAUCCAAAACCCGAUCCGGACAUACGCCCAAGUCUAAAAUCAUCAUAUGAACCUGUUGGAACCUUCAAAUCUCGAUUCCGAGGUCGUUUACUCAAAAAUCAUACUUUAGUCAAUUCCUCCAACUUAAGACUUCCGAAAUUAGAAUUUUCUUUCCAAAUCAACUCCGAACUUCCCGAAAUUAAAUUCCGACCACGCAUACAAGUCAUAAUACCUGAAGUGAAGCUGCUCAGGGCCUCAAACCGUUGAACGACGCGCUAUAGCUCAAAAUGAUCGGUCGGGUAGUUACAUUUCACAUCUUGAUUUUUUCUUUUUUGUUGUUUUUCGCUAUUUGUUUAUCUCUGUUAUUUUUUGUCACUGUUUCUUUCUUUUUGUUCUUCUUAUUAUUUUUUGUUUGUUUAUCACUCAGUUUAUUUAAUGGCUAUUUAUUUUUUGUUUGUUUAUCACUCAGUUUAUUUAAUGGCUAUGAUCUAAUCCGAUGAGGAUUGCCUGCGUAUCAUGGCGUCGCAUGAAUCAGAUCAUCAUGUAGUUCAAGUAUAUCAGGCAUAGACUGACAAGGAAAAUACCUUUCGGGUUUUGAAACUUACUUAUCCUUUUUUAUUAAAGUUCGGGAAAUUUCGAAAGAAUGACUUCUAAAUAAGAAAGAAAAUAAUUUCGAUUUUUGAUUGAUUGUUUUUUUAAUACAAACUUCUAAGAAAAUAUUUGGAUUUUGGAGUUUUUUGGGGGGAAAUUUUUGAAAGAAGAACUUCUAAAGAAACAGGAAAAUAUUUUUGAAUUUUGAAUUUUUGUUUCUUAAAGAACGACAUUCUAAGAAGAAAGAAAAUAUUUUGGAUUUUUUAUAUUUUUUUAAAAUUUCCGAACAAAGAUAUAUUUUUUUUAGUAUUCAAAUUUUUGUUUGUUAGUUUUAAUUUUUUUUCUUUCUUUGUUUUUUUUCUGGAUUUGAAAAAAAAAUUGAUUGUUUAAAAUUUGGGAUGAAGAUUUCUAAAUAAAGGAAAAAUAUAUUUUUGGAUUUUGAUUUUUUCUUUCUUUUUUCAAAUAAGGAGAGGAAAAUAUUUUUGGGUUUAAAAAUUUUUCUUUUCAGGGAUUUUCUAAGGAAAGACUUCUGAAAAGGGGAUUAAGGAAAAGGAAAAUAUUUUUGGGUUUAAAAAUUUUCUUUUACGGAAUUUUCUAAGGAAAGACUUCUGAAAAGGGAAUUAAGGGAAAGGAAAAUAUUUUGGAUUUUUUGAAAAUUGGGGGCCGGACCCGAUAAAUAUUGCCUACAUAUCUCACAUCCGGUGAGAAUCACACUUGCGUAGUUCGGGAAAUUUUUCUUUUUCAAAAUUAGGGUAAAGGUCAUUUUCUGAAAGUUUUGACUCAUUUUGUAACAAUCUUCUAAGAAUUCGAUAGAGUUUCAGGAUUUUUCUUUCUCUUUUUUUUUAAUGGAAAUUUUCAGGAACCGGGUAAAUUUUCUCUCUUCUGGUUUUUGUUGAUUUUUUAUCUCUCUUCUAUAAGUCGGUCAACAUGCAAACCAGAACAAUAAAUACAAUAAGUAGCACGUAAGAAGCAUCAGGAUUGGCUUUUAUUUGGGGGGUACACCUGACAUAGACGAACCCAACCCCUGUGAUGAGUCCCCAAAGUCAAAUGCAUGUGAUGAAAACAAGCUUACCUACUAGGUCUCCGGCAUGAGGCUUUGUUCUUCUAAGUUUAAACCUUACGGUGCGGAGUUCUAGACAAGGCUUACCCGAGCGGACAACUCGAAUCGAGGGGGGACAGCGUACCAGGAAUACAGAACCUUCAUCAGCUUUGCAACUAGCCUGAUCCUCGUUAAAAUUAAUGGUAUGACAAUCUAACAGAAAAGAAUCCACGUGAAACGCAUGCUUCCCAGAAGAUUUAGAAGACUCAAAGAGAAGAAGAGUGGCGUAACAGUUUUAUAUACAGUUCACGCAAUAUCAAAGCAGUAAAGAGCGGCAAUUAGCACAUUAGGCCCAAACACGUAAAAUCAGAUAAUAAACAAAAGCCAAGUAUAAAAGUCAUCUAAGCUCGAAUUCUGAACCCUGAACCCUAAGUUCGGGGUUCUUUUCCCCAGCAGAGUUGCCAGAACUGUCACACUUCCUUUUUCGAAGAUAAGGAAUUUUUUCAAUUUAAGUAACAUUAUUUGAAAUGGGAUUAAUUUAUUUUAUUUAUUUAUUAUAGAGUCGUCAUUUGAAAUAAUUAUUUACGGCGUCCCAAGUUGCCAUUUAUUUUAAAUCCCAAAUCAAUAAAUUUGACUCUGUAUAAGUCUGCGAAACACAAAAGACCGAUAAGGAAUUCUGUUAACCCGGAAGAAAGUGUAAGGCACUUCCGGAUUCCGUGGUUUUAGCACGGUCGCUUUACCAUUAAACUCGGCUUAAUUAUCCAAAUAUUACGUGUUUAGAAACUAUGUGCAUUUACCUUUUAUACCGCUUUUAAAUAUAUGUUUCGGCCAUUUUAAGUAUUUAUGAAAUUUAUUUGAACAAGUUACGAUGUCGUACACUUGUCGUUUUGUACAUACUGCAAACCGCGCCACGUGAAACGCACCCGCGAUUUGUGACAUAUUUAUUUUAUUAUUAGUUGAAGUUGGGGUCGAGUCAUACAUGCGUGCACCUGAAUUUAGGAUUAGAUGUCACAGUUAUGCCGCGGGAAACGUAUCUAUAAGUUGACGAAUUAUUUUUUAAACACACCUAAAGCCAACUAUGAGUAUUCAUGUAAUUAAUUUGACUAAAUUUGAGAUUUUAUUAUAAAGGUCCAAGAAUUAUGGAAUGUUAUUAUGGGUAAAGAUACAUUAAUGACUGUUUAUAAAGUGGUCGUAUGGGAAUUUUAAAAGCACUACAUUUGUUCAUCUUUAACCACUGGAAGUAUUGAAAUGGAAAGAUUCGAUAAGUUAUAAUAAUAAAUUAUUUGGAUCACUAGGGGGAUCUACUGCCAAUACUAAUGGUACUUUGAUGAAUUAAUUACGCCUACUCCCUCCUUGACUCGUUAGCUGUAGAAACUGGAUGAUAGUGCCAAAGAUCACAUUGAUUACAUAAUAGCAAUGGACAUUUAACAGGUCGUGUGAGAUGUAACUAUCCGAUCGGUUGUUUUGAGCUCUAGUAUGUCGUUCGGCGGGUUGAGGCCUUGAGUAGCUUCACUUCAUAUUUUAUGACUUGUACGUGUGGUCGUAAUUCAAUUUCGGGAAGUUCGAAGUGGUUACAGAAGGAAAAUUCUCAAUUCGGAAGCUUUAAGUUGGAAGAAUUGACUAAGGUUUGACUUUUGAGUGAACGACCACGGAAUCGGAAUUUGAAGGUUUCAAUAGGUUCGUAUGAUGAUUUCGGACUUGGGCGUAUGUUCGGGUUGAGUAUUGGGUGGUCUAAGAGCAUUUCGGCGUCUAUUAUGGAAGGUUGGCAUUUUGGAAGUUUAAGAAUUUCUUGAGUUUGAUUUGAAAUGAAUUUUGGUAUUAUCGAUGUCCGUUUGAAGUUCCGAACCUUGGAAUAGGUUCGUAUCGUGAUUUGUGACUUGCACGCAAAUUUUGGCGUCAUUCCGGGAUGUUUAAGCAUAAUUCGGAUGCUUUGGGCUAAGUUUAAAUGUUUGAAAGUUUAAAGAAAGGUUUUGAUCGUCCAUUUGUAGUUUUGAUAUUAUUUGGCAUGAUUUGAUGCUUCGACUAAGUCCGUAUUGUAUUUUGAGGUGUGUUUGUACGUUUAGAUGGGGUCCGGGGGGGCUUGGAUUUGAAAUGGAUUGAAAACGGAUUGAAACUUGAAAUUUGGGACAUGUUGUUGCUGUUGAAGUUUUGUGUCAUCGCACCUGCGGAAGGAGUGGCCGCAGGGGCGGUCAUGCAGGUGCGUAGGGGGUCAUCGUAGGUGCGAAUUUGGUGGAGGAGGUCUGGGAGCGCAGGUGCGAGGAAGAUUCUGCACCUGCGAAGUCGCAGAUGCGGAGAAGGGAUCGCAAAAGCGGUCAUGGGUGAGAGGCUAUGGUUGCGCAGGUGCGAGGGAAUUUCCGUACCUGCGAGCUCGUAGGUGCGGGCCGUUGGUCGCAGAAGCGAGAAGGGGCCUUGGGCUGAUGAAGCGCAGAAGCGAAGUUUUUGUCGCAAAAGCGACGCCACACGUGCUGCUGGAUGUCCGCUGGUGCGGAAGUCGCUGGGCAAAAGGGUUCUUUUAAAUCGAGACUUAGCUCUCAUUUCUCACUUGGACGGCCGAAUUUAGGGAGCUAUUUUGAGGGGGUUUUCAUCGAGCAACUCGAGGUAAGUGAUUUCCCCCUAUUACAAGUUAAAUACUUGGAUUUUAUAAAGGGUUUUUAACUUGGAAAUUAGGGAAAUUUAAGGAGAAACCUAGAAUUGAUAUUUUGGAUUUUUACCACGAUUUUGGACAUGUAAUUGCGGAUAAGAUAUAUAUUUGAGUUCAUAAUAUUAUGGGUAAUGAUUUUCUUCGAGAAUAUUUGGAAUCCGGGCACGUGAGCCCGAGGGUUGACUUUAUUAACUUGUCGAGCGAUGUUGGAAAUUAUUAUAAAUGAAUUAAUUAUGAUGUUGGAGCAUAUUUUUAUUGUCUUUCAUGAUAAAUUGACUAGUUCGGAUCGAUGGGCAUUUGGUUUGAGGCGUUGGAGCCAGUUAUGGAGCUUCGAAGCGAGGUAAGUCUCUUGUCUAACCUUGUGAGGGGAAUAUACCAUGUAGGUAUUAUAUUCUUAUAUGUUACAUGUUAUGAGAGCUACGCAUGUAUAACAUGACAAGUGUCUGUGUGUAUGCUAGGAUUCUUGAUUAUAUCCAGGUAGACUUAGUGUCACGACCCAAAAUCCACUAUAGGUCGUGAUGGCGUCUAACACCAUCAUAAAUAAUCCACCAAUGCACCGAUAACCAUAAGCUCUAAGUCUACCCAGACAUAAACAUGCUUUAGCUACGUACGGACUCUCGUCACCUCGUGUGUACAUAGCAUCCACAACUAAUUGCACAUAUUAAUAAAUGUCACUUAGGGGUAGUUUCCUCCUCACAAGGUUAGACAAGAGACUUACCUCGCUCCGAAGUUCCAUAACCGGCUCCAACGCUACUUUAACACCUCAAAUUGAUCCCGUCGCUCCAAAAAAUUGCAAAUAUUCUCGAAUCGUCAAGCAAAUGAGAACCUCGAACAGGAAACCAAAUGCCUUGCCGGAACCUCAACGAACCUCGACCAAACCGCCUCGAACUCGACUCGUUUGUAGUGAUUGAUAGAGUAGGAAGGAGCUGCUGGUUUUGGCUGAAGGACGACAGCUUUCGUGGUGAUUUUCGGAAUGUUUUAAGAUUGCUCUUGGUGAUGUUUUGGGCUGCUCUCAGCUGGAUUUCGGGACUGAUUUUAGCUGAAGUUUAUGGGAUUAUUUUUGUCCUAUUUUUUGUGUUGAUUUUGUUGUGUUUUGAGAGUGAUUUCAGCUGCGUUUUUGAGUGAUUUUGGGGCUGUUUUGGGUCUGUUUCAGAUUGUGUUAGAGCUGGAUUUUGGGGUUGUUCGCAGCGGGUCUUUUGCAGCAUUUUAGGAGGUUGUUCAGGGCUGUUUCGGAGUCGUUUUUGGACUGAGAAGAAGGCUGGUUUGGGGGUAGAUUUCCAAGUCGUUUUUGGGCUGCUCUUGGUCUAUUUUGGAGGCUGAUUUUUGGUGGUCUUUGCAGCCAAAAAGCUGCUGGAUUUUGCUGGAGUUUGGUUGUUCCAAGCUGGGUUUAGAGUAGUUUUAAUGGAGAUUUGGGGCUGUUUUGGGGUGGAUUUUUCAGCUGGGUUUUGGGGGUUUACAAUGCUCAUUUUUUAAUGGUGGGCUUAGAGGCUGAGAAAGAUGAGUGAAGAGGGAGGCACAGGCUGUGUUUUUGGGCUCUGCUUUUCGGAAGACCGGCCACCCUUUUUCUAGCUCUCUCAACCAAUGAUCCAAAAUAUACCCAAGCCCCUCAGGAACCCGUCAAAUCAUACCAACAAGUUCCAAAAUAUGAUACAAACUUAUUCGAAGCAUCAAAUCACAUCAAACAACGCCGAAAUUACGAAUCGCGCCUCGAAUCGAAUUAUGAGUUAUAAAAUUUCCAAAUUCUAUAAUUUGUGCCAAAGCGUAUCAAAUCAAUCCGGAAUGACUUCAAAUUUUGUACACAAGUCAUAAAUGACAUAAAGGACUUGUUCCAAUUUUUGAAAUCGAAAUCUGAGGUCGAUAUCAACCAAGUCAACUUCUGGUCAAAUUUAUGAAUAUUUCAAAACUUCAACUUUCUAACUUAAAGCUUCCGAAUUGAGAACUUUCCUUCCGAAACAACUCCGAACUUCUCGAAAUUUAAUUUCGACCACACGUACAAAUCAUAAAAUAUGAAGUGAAGCUACUCGAGGCCUCAAACCGCCAAACGACGCGCUAGAGCUCAAAAAGAUCAGUCAGGUCAUUACACUUAGGCUCCCGCCAUGCUUUAAUUGUACUAAUUGAGUUAUCCUUGCUUGUUUAAUUCCUUUACUUCAUGUUGCGACAUGAGAUUAGGCUUGCGUAGAGACAUAGACUCACUAUUGUGGAGAUUUUAUGAGCUACUUGAUUAGCCGCGGAAUAAUUGUGUUUCCCUUACAAAUUCCUCUUGCGUUGUGCAUUUUCAUUGAAAAGUUUCUUUAAAUUUCAUAACUCACACGUAUCUUCGUGAGUGGGGUCAAGGACCCGUUAAAGCUUCUUAUUCUAAUGAGAUCAGGUCGUUCGCCUCGGCAAUUUCAUAUUCUCAUGGGAGCGGGUCGUUCGCCUCGGCAGUAUAAUAGAUGCAUCUAUGGUUUGUGUCGUUCGACCCUCGACAGUGUACACAUUAUUAUGGGAUUGGGUUGUACGCCUCGACAUUUCUAUAAAUACUCUUAUGGGAUCGGGUCGUUCACCUCGGCAACGUCGUGCGUAAUAUUUGGCAAGAAACCAUCGUGUGGAAGAAGAAGAAUUAGUGUGGCUUCCCUUUUUGCGUUUUUGCUCUCUAAGAUUUUCUAAUUUUGUUCUCUCCCCCUUUUUCAGGUGUUCCCCUUUGUUUUCUCUCGUUUCCCCAGCCCCUUUUUAGUGUGUUUGAGCGUGUUUAUAUAAAAGAGAUAAAGAAGAAGAAAUGAGUUGGAGGGAGACGGGGUGUGAGCUCUGUGUGUCUUGGGGAGAAAGAAAAAUGUGCAGGAGCUUUUUGUAAAAAGGAAUCCAACGUGUAGUGUGAGGAGUGUGCAGGUGAGUUUGUUACAAAAGAUAUGAAAGAAUCUUGCUAGGUGGCAUUUUUGCAUUGGUUCUUUUUUUUUCUUUUCUUUUUAAAGAUAAACUAAAAUUAAAAAUAUUAUACUAGUAUUUUAAACUAGAAAAAAUAUAAGAAACUAUUAAGAAAAGUUAUAAAAAUUGCUAGUCUUACCAAAAAUUAGAAGAAAAAUAUAUUAUUAUUUUUUGUGAAUUUUCUUUUCUUUUGCAAAUAAAACACAACUAUGAUCUAAAAUGUGAAUGUGAUUUUUAAUUUUAUAAAAUAAACCUACUAAAAAGUGAAAUAAAGGCUUAAAUAUCAAUAUUAAACUUAGCAAAUAUUUACAUACUAAAAAGUGAUGAAAAAAUCAAAUAUAGUCAAAAAUUAGGUGCUCACAGCUGCCCCUCUGUGCUUGAAAACAUGAAGAGUUUUCAGGGAAAGACAAGGUGAGCCAUGUGACUAAUAUUUGACCAAAUCUUUAUUCAAAAGGGAAAAUAAACAAUGGAAAGGGUGCAAUCGAGUCCUGAUUUUGGACAGCCUACAUAUCUUGGGUCAUAAGGGAAUCGGGUCGCGUGUAGUUCAAGGAGAAUGAUGGAAUGAUGAGUUCGAGAGUUUAGUAAGGUUCCGUCGAGGCUCCGGUCUGUGGUCCUGCUAUUACAUUAAAAUCAAAAUCAAAAGAAACUAAACAAGCCUAUCAGUUAUGAGUUACAAGAUUCAUAUUUAUAAGUCUUCUAAAAUUUGAUCUUGAGUCUUGACUGGUUCUUCACGCAGACUCUGUUCUGAACCUUGAUGCUUGCUAGCUGCAGGUGUUAGUUAAUUCUUCUAAGGCUUCUUCCGGUCAAAACGAGAAAUGCAAUGCUCGUGACUUCAGUCACGUCUUGAGCAUUCCACAUCUUUUCAUCUGCCUCUGCAUUUUGGAUUCACUUCUUUUUUAUUUUCUUUUUUUUUCUUUAUUCUGGAUUGAGACUUCUUCUUUUGAUCAUCUCGGACCUUCUUAGACACCAAAACAAACAAACAAACGAAAUUUUUCUGCCCCAGUUUUCACUAGAAAAAUUUUGUGAGUUAUUUGUAACAAAAACUCUAAACUACUUCAUUAUUGAAAGCAAUAAGAAUUUGGGAAUGGUGUACCCUCGGAAAACAUGAUUAUUUGGUAAUGUUGUACCCUAAUUUUCUAAAUAGUGCCUCAAUUAAGGAUUGGUGUACCUUAUGUUAGGGAAAUAUGAUGAGGGAAUGGUGUACCUUAUAUUUAGCAAAGAUAUCAGGGAGUGGUGUACCCUGCAUUUAAGAUAAAAUCAACUAGGGAGUGGUGUACCCUAUGUUGGAAAACACAGCUAGGGAUUGGUGUAUCCUAUACUGGUAAGGAGAUCAUGGAGUGGUGUACCCUGCAUUUAAGCUCACAUCAACUAGGGAGCAGAGACCCUAUGUUGGAAAAGGGAGACUAGGGAGUGGAGACCCUAUGUCUAAAAUAACAUCAACUAGGGAGUGGAGAUCAACUAGGGAGUGGAGACCCUAUGUCUAAAAUAACAUCAACUAGGGAGUGGAGACCCUAUGUCGGAAAAGGAGACUAGGGAGUGAAGACCUUAUGUCUAAAAUAAAUCAACUAGGGAGUAGAGACCCUGUGUUGGAAGAGGAGACUAGGGAGUGGAGACCCUAUGUCUAAAAUAAUAUCAACUAGGGAGUGGAGACCCUAUNNNNNNNNNNNNNNNNNNNNUGCAAUUAGGGAAAGAUGUACCAUAUACUAACAUGCGACUAUGUUUUCCUUUUUCUUUUUAUUUUUUGAGAAAAAUAUUUUUUUUAAAAAAACAAAUUAUCUUAAAGUUUAUUUCCUGAGGGCAUGAACAUUUUUUUUUAUAAGAUCUAGACUUCUUUUUUUUUUUUAAAACAAUUAUCCUAGGAGAAAAUUCAUAAGAUUAGGGAUUUUUUAUAUAUCUUAGGAGAAAGAUUCAUCAGUCUAAGACUUUGUAUCCUAGGAAAAAGUUCGCCAGAUUAGGGCUUUUUAUCUUAUGAGAAAGAUUCAUCGGACUAAGACGUCUAUCCUAGGAGAAAAUUCAUCAGACUAGGGAUUCUUAUCUUAGGAGAAAAUUCAUUAGACUAAGAUUUCUAUCCUAGGACAAAGUUCAUCAGACUAGGCUUUUUUUUUAAUCUUAGGAGAAUGAUUCAUCAGACUAAGAUUUCUAUCCUAGGAGAAAAAUUAUCAGACUAGAUUUUUCUUAUCUUAGGAGAAAGAUUCAUCAAACUAAGACAUCUAUCCUAGGAGAAAAUUCAUCAGACUAGGGAUUCUUAUCUUAGGAGAAAACUCAUCAGACUAAGACGUUUAUCCUAGGAUAAAGAUUCAUCAUACUAGGUUUUUUUUUCUUUGUUAUCUUAGGAGAAAGAUUCAUCAGACUAAGAUUUCUUAUCCUAGGAGAAAAUUCAUUAGACUGGGUUUUAUUUAUCUUAGGAGAAAGACUUAUCAGACUAAGACUUCUAUCCUAGCAGAAAGUUCAUCAGACUAGGUUUUCUUAUCUUAGGAGAAAGAUUCAUCAUACCAAGACUUUGUAUCCUAUGUGAAAAUUCAUCAGACUAGGUUUUGUUUUCUUUUUUAUCUUAGGAGAAAGUUUCAUCAGACUAAGAUUUCUAUCCUAGGAGAAAAUUCAUCAGACCAAGUUUUCUUAUCUUAGGAGAAAUAUUCAUCAGACUAAGACUUUGUAUCCUAGGAGAAAAUUCAUUUAUGAUUUUUAUCCUAGGAGAAAGUUUAUUAGACUAGGGCUUUUUAUCUUAGGAGAAUGAUUUAUCAGACUAAGAUUUUUAUUGGAAGGAAAGAUCCAUCAGACUAGGAUGCAUUACCCUAGGAGAAAAAUGUGAAGAGAAAUGAUAUGAUUUUAUGCAUUUUAGAAAGACAAAAAAAGGUAAAGAUUUGAGAAACUUCCCUUUGUCAGCUCUUCUCUUCUUUUCUUUUUCUUUUUCUUUACUUAAUUUUUUUUCAUUUUUCAACCCCCCCUACCCCCCCCCCCCCUUGUUUUUUUGAACCACUUUUCUUGCACUGCUUUGUUCCUGUUUCAAACAAAGAAAGUUUUUGUGAGUUUCAAAAGGAGGUGGUAAGUUUGUGACCUUGAUGUCUUUGGCAGCUUGGCCUUGUGCCCAUUCGCUUCUGGAAGACCGACUAUAUUGGUAGUUGGCUACACUGCUGGGAGACUCUGUUUUUUCUUUCAAGAGAUUUUUGCUCUUCGUAUCAAACUUGAUUGUUUCACACACAAUACCAUUUUGUGUUUGUGGCUCAAUCAACCUUAUCCCAAAAGGAUAUUUUGCUCUAGUAACCCUUUUUCUGAUUUUUUGAAUGGUUUUUGAUUUUUGAGCAAUUUGGUUGUCGGAGAGAAUCACAAUUGCAUAUGUGCCUUCCACAUGAUGUGCACACUCCAUAGUCUUUGUUUAGUACCACAAGGAACCCGUAAUCAAUCUUACGAUCUUUUCUUUGCUUGCUUUUGACAAGUAGGCCAACAUAAGUAUCUUUUGAGGGAAACUUCGUAUUGCACGAAUCCUCAACACAUGUCGAUUGCAAUAACUGAGUGCAUAUUACUCCCCAGACAGUGUUGUCUUGAAUGUUCCGGCCAGAAUUUGCUUUGUGCAACUGAAAAGCUGGUAGCAGAUUUUGAAAUCCUUUCUUACUUAUUUUAAUGAGGAUCGACUCAAACAAAGGACAUAAUGAUGCGAAGAAACAAUAUAAACAAGAAAUGCCCCUGUCGGAAAGGAACGACGAGCUUUUUGUUUUUGGUAAUUAGCCUUAAUGAUCAUGACAUGCAUUUUGGACUCAACGGCCUGAUCUAUCAAACUGAUCAAAUCUUCCCUUUUACCUUUCUUAUGACCUUUGAAGUCGGGCUUGUUCGUGCCAAUCCUUUGCAUCAGCUUCACGACUCACUUUCGACUAGUGGUGCCCCGAGGAAUUUUUACCAACAAGUCUCUCUCAUUUAUUUAUCUCUACUUACCGUUGUUUUACAGCGCCUGUGAGGGUUUUCACUAGUAAGACUUUCUUUUCUUGUUUUUUCUUUUCUUGAUUCCUUGAAUGAGAACCAUGACCAUGUCCUUCAUAUGACAACCAUUGCUCAUUGCGGAUUUCCCUUGCCAUUCUCAAAACUGAUCAGGAGGUCUUGUUUGGAAGGCUUCUGGAUAUGGUUAGAAAGAAAGGACAGAAUGAAGGCUCAAAGUAGACUCAAUAUGAUGGGUUGUACACUUACAACUCUUGGAAUCGACUCUUUCAAAAACUAAAACAAACUCAUGCCCUAGUUUUAGAUACUGGAUUUUUUUUUUUUUGGUUGGAUUCUUAUUUGGUCGGAUCGAACCGUGUAAGGCUGCCUACGUAUUCUUUUUUUUAAGGAUUCAGGUCAAACAUAGUUCAAGCAUCUGACCUAACUAUUUUUUUCAUCUUUCUUUAUGUUUCUCUGCCUUUUUUUUUCUUUUUUUUCCAAAACAAAUUGCCCCAGCUUUUAUUUUCUGGGGGUAUGGACCUUUGACUGAUCUUUUUUUUCACUUGAACUUUCUAAGAGUUUCCCUAGUUUAUACUCUUGGGGCAUGGUCUUUUCUUUUCUUUCUUUAUUUUUUGACUUAACUCGAAACUUGAUUCCAAAAGAGGGUGGUCAAAGAAAAUAACUCAAGCUCAAAAGGGGUAAGGAAGGGUAUAAAGUGUUUGGAUAGCAGAAAAAUGGCCUCCCAGCCUCGAGAACGCCAAACAUAGUAACUUUUGGCGAUCACCGGAUUGAAUGAACAUGUCUGUCUCUUAGUGUAUCAUGGUCGAAAGACAGUUUCCAUGCAUUAAUGUCAAACUUUCCACCAUCAAUUGAUUCUUCCUCAAACCCGAUCUUCACAAUGAUUUGAAGGUAAAGAUCGUUAACCUCCACGAGUAUGACUAUUCUAGUUCCACAUGAAUUUUGUUCGAGCUUAAUUCCAAGGUGUUUCGACUCUUUAUUAAUCAUCAAAAAUGUCUUUUUCUCAGUUAUCCAAUUCAACACUAGAUCAAUUUUAUAAAAGCCGGUCGAAAAUUCCAUACGCAUGUCAUGUCACUAAAACUAGCGGCGAAAGAAUUAAGCAUAGAAUGACACAAAGAGACAGGAUAACACAAAGGGACAAACUGUAUUUCAUUAAAUAAAGGAUGGAAGGAUUUGACAAUAAGACAAAUAAACUGAAAUCGGGUUUACAGCCCUGGAUAACCUAGAUAACAGAAAAUAUGGCAAAACAAGCUACCAAGACUCCUCUAUGUCUAAAAGAGGAGUGACUUUCCAGUUGCUAGGCGACAUCUUAGCCACAAAUUUGCAUAUCAGCACUACUACGGCAUUCAGUCUUUUUUAUUGCUUUUUAUUCAACACUCAAAUUUUGACUUUUUGAUCAAAUCGUUCCCAAUAUUGACUAUCGGAUUUCAGGACUGACGACAUGGGAGAUUUCAUAGCAACUAAUUUCCCAAAGGACUUGAAAGAUUUUCAUGUCUCUCCAUCAUCAAAUCAUCCCGAGCAGCGCAUAUCCUAUUGCUUAAACCUGGUAAAGUCAACCAACAUUUGCCUCCCUUUUUGAUUUUUCACGACCAACUUGCCUAGUUUCCUUUUCGUGACCUUGGAUCAAACAGUGGUGCUUGUUCCAUUAGUUGAGAAGAUAUUUUUAUUUCUGAGGAACCUUGGAUUGUUUUUGUGACUCGCCAUUGCAAACCAACAAACCGACCACCUUUAACCAGGUUUUAUUUCAAAACAACAAACAUGUUAGAAUGAACACUCUUUCUUUUUCCUUUUCUCUUUUCUUUUUUUUUUCUUUCUUUCUUUUCUCUCUUUUUUUUGUUUUUUUUUUUAACCAUUCAAUCGAACCUGCUAUGGGUUGCCUACGUAUCAUGCAGGAACAUGAAUCAGAUCUUGCGUAGUUCAGAAAGAUCAGAAAUAAAGUAAAUAAAUUAACCCUUUUUUGAAUUUUGAAUUUUAUUUAUAAUUUCCGAAAGAAAGACUUAUAAAGAAGAAAGAAAAUAUUUUUGAAUUUUGAUUUUUUUUUAUUUUUUAGUUUUUUGAGAAUUUUUUAAAAGAAAGACUUUUAAAUAAGAAAGAAAAUAUUUUUGUUUUAUUUUUUUUGAAUUUUGAUUUGUUUUCUUUUUUUGGAAUUUUGAAAGAAAAACUUCUAAAAAAGAAAGAAAAUAUUUUUAAAUUUUUGAACUUUUAUUUUGAAUUUAUGAAAGAAAAACUUCUAAAGAAAAAAGAAAAUAUUUUUGAAUCUUGAAUUUUCUUCUCAAUUUUCGAAACAAAAUCAGCAACACAGACACUGAAAUGCCAAAUAAAGGCAGAGUGAAGACGAGAAGAAUUCAGCAAUGCAUAAUCAGCAACACAUCUUCAAUUUAGGUCCAAAAUCGACUCAAAGCAACCAGAUAUUAUUGAAACAAAGGAGUAGAAAUCAGUCCAGCCUUUGAAAUUCCCUUUUCUACACUUUUCCCCUUUUUGAUAUUUUUGUUAUCCUAAAUCUCAGAUCUCAGUUAAUAUUUUUUAAAUUUUUAAAGUUUUUACUCAUAGCUUUGAAUAUGAAGAGCUUUCAAGUCCGUGAAGUGUGUGAGUGAAUGAGAGGAGUGAGAAUUUUUGUGUGAGCGAGAUGAGAGAGAAUGUGUGAGUAAGAAUGAAUGAACAAUCUAUCAAUGUGUAUUAUGUUAUAUAGAAAAUGCAGAGAAUCUUUUCAGUUAUUUCCUUUCUCUUUCAUCCCUCUUCUUUUGUUAUUUUCCCCUUUACCCCCGACCCCUUCCCUCUUUUGUUUGCUAAACAUGUCCUUUUUAAAUUAUUCCUUUUCCUCUAACCCUUCUGCCCCUUUGUUCCUAAACUCGAAUCCAAUGGGCCUGCCUUAUAGGGAGACGCAAAUUUCUUAAUACCCAAUAAUCAACAAAACAUUAUCAAUCAAUUUCAAAUUCCGAUUAAACAACAAUUACUACAGCGAUUAAAACAAAUUGGAAUAUGCAAUCACGUAAUUUGGCUAAUGAUCAAUGUAAUCAAACAGUUCCUCUUUACUUUUCAAACUAUGCCUACUAAUAAUUAAACUAACACAUUAACACCUAAAACCACGACAUCUGUGAAUAAUAAUGAAGAAACAAAAUUAAGGAAAAGAAACUUACAGUCGAUAAGACCCAAAAGCCAAGGAGAUGAUUCAAAACACCGGCGUUUCAAUGUUUAACGGUAACGAUCUUUGUCUAAUGAACAUUGAUCUGGACCCUUGAUGUCCGAUAAGUGUUUCAUUGGACAAAGCCCGUUGAGGUUCAACGGAGUUUGACAGAUACAAAAGAUUCCGACGGCCUAGAAACAGAUCGAAUACUAAUACCAAAUUGGAAUACACAACAAGGAGGGUUAAUUGGUGCACGUUUCGACCUCGAGCAAGCUGAGAUUUAGGAGAAAACAAGAAGGGGAUGGAUUAGAUUUUUGGUUUGGUUCUUAGAUCUAAAAAUCAUGAAACUAUGAGGACCUUAAGAAAAAUCCAAUGGAAGAUUAAGAGAGAGAGGGAGAUGGAGAUCACGUGUCGAAAAUUUUGGGAUGUUUGGAAGUCGGCCGCCGCCGUGGGCGAUUUUCAGCGGCGGCGUUGGACAGAGAAACAGUGGUGAGAGAAGAGGGUGUUCUGAGAGGCUUUUGGGGGUAGGGACUUGGUUCGUACAGUUAUAUGGGGAAGAAGAGUUAGUUCCCAGUCGUUCGAUCAAGAAGAAUGAAUGGCCGAGAUUACGCACGCCAAAAACGACGUCGUUUGGUAGUCUCUUGGAGACGAGGCGAAGGGAUCGGGUCUGGAGUGAUUUGGGCAAAGGUUUGGGCCUGAAACAAUGGCCCAGUCCGGUUUUUUAACCCACCAAUUCCCAUUUCCCUCUUUGUUUUGAUUUUCAACAUUAGCCACUUAUCCUAACAAACCUAAUUUUAAAACUAAUAUGCAAAAUUAACCCAUUUAACUAUUUUAACAACUAAAACUAAUCAAUUACUUUUACAAAUUAAAAGAAAAGAGACUAAUUAACUGCAC